Molecule: transfer RNA, 87 nt
Filed under: Caldithrix abyssi
Lineage: Bacteria; Pseudomonadati; Calditrichota; Calditrichia; Calditrichales; Calditrichaceae
Description: tRNA-Leu
Rfam family: tRNA
About the family: Transfer RNA (tRNA) molecules are approximately 80 nucleotides in length. Their secondary structure includes four short double-helical elements and three loops (D, anti-codon, and T loops).
Source: RNAcentral
GCGAAAGUGGUGGAACUGGUAGACGCGCUAGGUUCAGGGUCUAGUGCCCGCAAGGGCGUGGGGGUUCGACUCCCCCCUUUCGCACCA